UGUGGUUUAAUUCGAAGCAACGCGAAGAACUUAACCAGGUCUUGACAUCCGAUGCUAUUUCUAGAGAUAGAAAGUUACUUCGGUACAUCGGUGACAGGUGGUGCAUGGUUGUCGUCAGCUCGUGUCGUGAGAUGUUGGGUUAAGUCCCGCAACGAGCGCAACCCUUGUCCUUAGUUGCCAGCAUUCAGUUGGGCACUCUAAGGAGACUGCCGGUGUUAAACCGGAGGAAGGUGGGGAUGACGUCAAGUCCUCAUGGCCCUUAUGUCCAGGGCUACACACGUGCUACAAUGGCCGGUACAAAGGGCUGCAAGACCGUGAGGUUGAGCGAAUCCCAGAAAGCCGGUCUCAGUUCGGAUUGGAGUCUGCAACUCGACUCCAUGAAGUUGGAAUCGCUAGUAAUCGCGGAUCAGCAUGCCGCGGUGAGUACGUUCCCGGGUCUU
Molecule: ribosomal RNA, 440 nt
Filed under: uncultured Desulfuromonas sp.
Lineage: Bacteria; Pseudomonadati; Thermodesulfobacteriota; Desulfuromonadia; Desulfuromonadales; Desulfuromonadaceae
Description: bacterial SSU rRNA
Rfam family: Bacterial small subunit ribosomal RNA
Source: RNAcentral